UUCUAAACUAACAAUAUACAAGUAACAUGAUUAACUUUUAACCAUAUACAUGCAUUCAACUUAUACAUUUACAUUCUUUUCUCUAAACAUCAUUUCUUCUCAUUACAUCACAUGAUCUUCCAAAAUAUGCCUUUUCAUUCAAACAUAAGCUCUCUUUAUAUUUAACCAUCGUUCAUACAUUUAUAAUCAUCAAAAUACAAAAGAUGAUAC
Molecule: long non-coding RNA, 210 nt
Filed under: Ananas comosus (pineapple)
Lineage: Eukaryota; Viridiplantae; Streptophyta; Magnoliopsida; Poales; Bromeliaceae
Description: long non-coding RNA (ACOM_LNC043295)
Source: RNAcentral